AACGAACGCUGGCGGCGCGCCUAAUACAUGCAAGUCGAGCGAGAAGACGUAGCAAUACGUUUGUAAAGCGGCGAACGGGUGAGGAAUACAUGGGUAACCUACCCUCGAGUGGGGAAUAACUAGCCGAAAGGUUAGCUAAUACCGCGUACGCUCCUUGGACUUCGGUUCAGGGAGGAAAGCGAUACCGUGGGUAUCGCGCUCUUGGAUGGGCUCAUGUCCUAUCAGCUUGUUGGUGAGGAACGGCUCACCAAGGCUUCGACGGGUAGCUGGUCUGAGAGGACGAUCAGCCACACUGGCACUGCGACACGGGCCAGACUCCUACGGGAGGCAGCAGUAAGGAAUAUUGCGCAAUGGGCGAAAGCCUGACGCAGCGACGCCGC
Molecule: ribosomal RNA, 380 nt
Filed under: uncultured bacterium
Lineage: Bacteria
Description: bacterial SSU rRNA
Rfam family: Bacterial small subunit ribosomal RNA
Source: RNAcentral